Molecule: non-coding RNA, 97 nt
Organism: Smithella sp. F21
Lineage: Bacteria; Pseudomonadati; Thermodesulfobacteriota; Syntrophia; Syntrophales; Smithellaceae
Source: Rfam
CCUUACCCGGGGAGACCCCGAUUAUGAAAGUAGUUGGGGAGUCAGCAGAGGCCGUAGUAGCGAAGACGCCCGUUGAAAGACGGGAAGAGCGAAGGGC